GUGCUUAUCUGGCAGAGGAGAUACCAUGAUCACAAUGGUCGUUUUCCCAGGUGAGGCUUAUCCAUUGCACUCCGGAUGUGAUGACCCUUGGGGUUUCCCCAAAUUCAGGAAACUUGACUGCAUAAUUUGUGGUAGUGGGGGCACUGCAUUUGUGCUCUCCACUA
Molecule: small nuclear RNA, 164 nt
Organism: Mesocricetus auratus (golden hamster)
Lineage: Eukaryota; Metazoa; Chordata; Mammalia; Rodentia; Cricetidae
Gene: U1
Rfam family: U1 spliceosomal RNA
About the family: U1 is a small nuclear RNA (snRNA) component of the spliceosome (involved in pre-mRNA splicing). Its 5' end forms complementary base pairs with the 5' splice junction, thus defining the 5' donor site of an intron.
Source: Ensembl